AAAACGACUCUCGGCAACGGAUAUCUCGGCUCUCGCAUCGAUAAAGAACGUAGCGAAAUGCGAUACUUGGUGUGAAUUGCAGAAUCCCGUGAACCAUCAAGUCUUUGAACGCAAGUUGCGCCCCAAGCCAUUAGGCCGAGGGCACGUCUGCCUGGGUGUCACGC
Molecule: ribosomal RNA, 164 nt
Filed under: Abutilon menziesii
Lineage: Eukaryota; Viridiplantae; Streptophyta; Magnoliopsida; Malvales; Malvaceae
Description: 5.8S ribosomal RNA
Rfam family: 5.8S ribosomal RNA
About the family: 5.8S ribosomal RNA (5.8S rRNA) is a component of the large subunit of the eukaryotic ribosome. It is transcribed by RNA polymerase I as part of the 45S precursor that also contains 18S and 28S rRNA. Functionally, it is thought that 5.8S rRNA may be involved in ribosome translocation.
Source: RNAcentral